Hemicordylus capensis (graceful crag lizard) is the source of this 550-nucleotide long non-coding RNA. RefSeq lists it as uncharacterized. The transcript has 2 exons. The record is from RefSeq and is a predicted model, not a curated record. Lineage: Eukaryota; Metazoa; Chordata; Lepidosauria; Squamata; Cordylidae.
GCCUGGCAGCAUGGAUGUCUGGCCAGGUUUUGACUCGUCUGGGCUGCAAGAGUCGUCUCGUGGACUCUGGCUACUGAGCAUGCUCUGCUCUUCAUCAACAGCAGGGAGCGAAGCAUGGAGGGUUUGGGGCUGGGCAGCUGCUGGCCUCUCCCCGCCCCACCCCACCCCCCUGCCUGAAAUGCAGAAACAAAACUUGCUGCCCUCUAAGGAGAGGCUCUGGCUCAUGAGAUCUGAAUCACCUUCCAAGCAGCUGAAGGAACAGUCUGGAAUUGAGCCGCCAGUACAAGAAAGGAAGAGCCAGACCUAAAGCUAAGCGAAGGGAACCGCCAGGGUUGCUGCAGAGGCUGAUUAGAGGGGACUCGAAGAAAACUCCUGGCAAGGACCCUGGGUGAAGGCACAGUAUUAGGAGCAGGUUCGAUUGGGUGCAUUUUUCUCGUAUUUUAUUUGUUCCUUUACACGCAUAUGGUAGCUGUUUCUUUGUGCUAAAUUCUCCAGAAUUACUGUGUUGAAUCGAACUGUUCUAGAGUAAAAUUUCUCUUUUUGAAUUUAA